Molecule: non-coding RNA, 225 nt
Filed under: Ixodes scapularis (black-legged tick)
Lineage: Eukaryota; Metazoa; Arthropoda; Arachnida; Ixodida; Ixodidae
Description: Eukaryotic small subunit ribosomal RNA
Rfam family: Eukaryotic small subunit ribosomal RNA
Source: Rfam by way of RNAcentral
UUUUGGGAGGAUUGACAGAUUGAGAGCUCUUUCUUCAUUCGGUGGAUAGUGGUGCAUGUCCGUUCUUAGUAGGGGAGCGAUUUGUCUGGUUAAUAUCGAUAACGAACAAGACUCUAGUUUAAUAAAUAGGUGCGUGGUUCUCUGCACUCUUUACCCUUCUCAGAGGGACACGCGGCUCCUAGCCGCACGAAACAGAACAGUAACAUGUCUGUGAUGUCCUUAGAU